UAUAGAUAGAUAUAACAGAUCCAUUGAUGAUGUGAACAAAACCGCCAAUAUGUUUUACCAAAUAUUCAUUAUUUCCUGAAAGCGACAGAAGCGACUUUGAAUGUAACUAGCAUGUUUUCAGAGCCUUUUAUAUCCAGUAAUAAGUUUUACAUGAGAAUUUAGUUGUAGCGGAAGACAAAUCAAUAAAUCCGCGGGAAAACCAUUUGUAGCAACAUUUUGAAGAACAGGGUUCAAUCAUAGCAUUUUAACAGC
RNAcentral lists this long non-coding RNA (252 nucleotides) under Mytilus galloprovincialis (Mediterranean mussel). The record is from RNAcentral. Lineage: Eukaryota; Metazoa; Mollusca; Bivalvia; Mytilida; Mytilidae.